Molecule: ribosomal RNA, 575 nt
Filed under: Leptodactylus colombiensis
Lineage: Eukaryota; Metazoa; Chordata; Amphibia; Anura; Leptodactylidae
Description: partial 16S ribosomal RNA
Rfam family: Bacterial large subunit ribosomal RNA
Source: RNAcentral
CGCCUCUUGAAAAACCCAUAAGAGGUCCAGCCUGCCCAGUGACUCUGUUCAACGGCCGCGGUAUCCUAACCGUGCGAAGGUAGCGUAAUCACUUGUUCUUUAAAUGAGGACUAGUAUGAAUGGCACCACGAAGGUUAUACUGUCUCCUUCCUCUAAUCAGUGAAACUAAUCUUCCCGUGAAGAAGCGGGGAUAAACCUAUAAGACGAGAAGACCCUAUGGAGCUUUAAACAUAGUAAUAAAUGCCCUCCCCCCUUUUCUAUUCAAAUCUCCGGAGAACUACUUUAUUUGAGCAUCCUAAUUACAAGUUUUAGGUUGGGGUGACCGCGGAGUAAAAAAUAACCUCCACAGUGAAUGGGAUCUUCCCCUAAACUCAGGGCCACAACCCUAAAAAUCAAUAAAUUGACACCCAUUGACCCAAUAUUUGAUCAAUGAACCAAGUUACCCUAGGGAUAACAGCGCAAUCCACUUCAAGAGCUCCUAUCGACAAGUGGGUUUACGACCUCGAUGUUGGAUCAGGGUACCCCAGUGGUGCAGCCGCUGCUAAAGGUUCGUUUGUUCAACGAUUAAAACCCUA